AUUGAACGCUGGCGGCAGGCCUAACACAUGCAAGUCGAGCGAGCGGCGGACGGGUGAGUAAUGUAUGGGGCCUGCCCGAUAGAGGGGGAUAACUACUGGAAACGGUGGCUAAUACCGCAUACUAUCGGAUAACCCAUAUGGGAUUAGCUAGUAGGUGGGGUAAAGGCGAACCUAGGCGACGAUCCCUAGCUGGUCUGAGAGGAUGAUCAGCCACACGGGGGAGGAGACAAGGCCCAGACUACUACGGAGGUAGCAGUGGGGAAUAUUGCAGAAUGGGCGAAAGCCUGAUGCAGCCAUGCCGCGUGUAUGAAGAAGGACUUAGGGUUGUAAAGCACUUUCAGCGGGGAGGCGUUACCCGUAGAAGAAGCCCCGGGUAACGCCGUGCCAGCAGCCGCGGUAAUAC
Molecule: ribosomal RNA, 403 nt
Filed under: uncultured bacterium
Lineage: Bacteria
Description: partial 16S ribosomal RNA
Rfam family: Bacterial small subunit ribosomal RNA
Source: RNAcentral